RNAcentral lists this ribosomal RNA (406 nucleotides) under uncultured bacterium. RNAcentral's name for it is "bacterial SSU rRNA". It matches the Rfam family "Bacterial small subunit ribosomal RNA", at positions 354 to 776 of the family's 1533-position model. The record is from RNAcentral.
GCAGGGAAUCUUGCGCAAUGGGCGAAAGCCUGACGCAGCGACACCGCGUGGGGGAAGAAGGCCUUCGGGUUGUAAACCCCUUUUCCCGGGGAAGAGCAAGGACGGUACCCGGGGAAUAAGGUUCGGCUAACUACGUGCCAGCAGCCGCGGUAAUACGUAGGAACCGAGCGUUGUCCGGAUUUACUGGGCGUAAAGUGCGCGUAGGCGGUUUGUUAAGUCUCAUGUGAAAUCUCCCGGCUCAACUGGGAGGGGUCAUGGGAAACUGGCAGACUCGAGGGCAGCAGAGGAGAGUGGAAUUCCCGGAGUAGUGGUGAAAUGCGUAGAUACCGGGAGGAACACCAGAGGCGAAGGCGACUCUCUGGGCUGUACCUGACGCUGAGGCGCGAAAGCGUGGGGAGCAAACCGG